Long non-coding RNA from Candoia aspera, 637 nucleotides. RefSeq lists it as uncharacterized. The transcript has 4 exons. Lineage: Eukaryota; Metazoa; Chordata; Lepidosauria; Squamata; Candoiidae. The record is from RefSeq and is a predicted model, not a curated record.
UUCCUGAAAUGAAGAAAGUGUGGGAAAACCAGCAAUGAAUUUUGAGUGAAAGAAAUGAUUCCAUUCCAUUUUGGUACUAAACACAAAUUUCUGGGUAUAUAACAUCAAGAUCCAUGGAAAGAAGAUCCAACACAUUUCUCUUCCAGCCAAGAACAAAUGUAACUACUGGCUAUUGGCUUUAAUGGAUUGAAGUGGAUUCUACUUUUUAAAGAAAUAACAAAGCCAGCAUGGACCUUCAGCUUACCUGUCAGAGUGAUCUGAGCCUCCACGUCUGAAAGUGUUAAACAGAAGCAAAUUGUUUGACUCAACCCUGAAUGAUAGAGUCAUUUUGGAAAGAGAUGGGAAAUCGAUGCUUGUCAUCCCCCAAAGCAGAGCGCUUUCUUCAGACCAGCAAUUUGUACAGUGUAAUCUGCCCUGAGUCCACAAAGUUACAAUGCCAAGCGUAGCAAUCUUAAAAUGACAGGCUGUAAAAUUUAGGCUUAUCAUCACUGGAUUCAUAGGAACAAGAGUGAACUUCAUAAUGAUCGUGCCACACCACAAAGGGAUAAAAUAAAAACCCAACUCAAUGUGAUGAAGCCGGCUUUCUUCCUUCUCUUUCCAUCUUAAAUACUGGGAAAUCAGAUUUAACCGAAUUCCU